CCUCAUGUCACAUUACAUUUUUCUUGAUAUACAUAUUUUAUUAUCCCGUGGCAACGCACGGAUACUAUACUAGUAUAAUAGUGAAAAUAAGCUCACAUAUUUUUUAAGAUUAGAUAUAAAAAAUAGCUCAAGGUAGUUAAGUACUGUUACUAUCUUUUUGGCUAAUGUUAGUACAGUAGGGCCAAAAUUAGUGUACAUGCGCAUAAAAUUGGUCGUGUCACGCGGGUAUUCAGCCCGCCGGAUAUUUUUUUAGCGAGCGCGCGCAGAAUUGGUUGUACGCGCGUAUUCAACUUGUCAGAUUUUUCUUAGGCCCUGUUUGGUUUCAAAUAAGUUACCAAUUUAUAAGUUGAAAAGUGCAAAAGAUGACUUAUUUUGCCAAACAGACUCAACUUAUAAGUCACCCCAACUUAUAAGUCAUAAGUUGCUCCACCCCAACUUAAAACUUAUAAGUCACCUACUUUUGCAUGGAAAGAUGAAUUAUAAAUCAGAUGACAACCAAACAUGCGUGACUUAUAAGUCACAGAAUUGGUCACGCGCGUAUUUAGCCUAUCCCUCAUGUGUACACGCGCUAAGGCCGUUUCCCCCAAAUCCACCGUUGUACACUUCCCCCAAAUCCCACCCCAGCGCCGAGAGCGCCGCCAGGGCGUCGCUGCCGCCGCCGUAGACUGGACUUCCCGCGGCUGCCAUUGCUGAGGUUGCCCCGCCGCCGCCGCCGGCGAGGGCCUUGACGGACCUGCCGCCCUCGACAGCUUCGGACGCAGGAGGCGGAGGGCUCCGUCGCCGCGACCGCGGCCCGACCUUGUCACCUUGGACGGAUCCUAUCCUGCCUCCUCGACCAAGACCAACCUGCCUUAGCUGUAGAUCGUACGUGUGCUUCAGCUUCACANN
Molecule: long non-coding RNA, 888 nt
Filed under: Hordeum vulgare
Lineage: Eukaryota; Viridiplantae; Streptophyta; Magnoliopsida; Poales; Poaceae
Description: long non-coding RNA (HVUL_LNC002042)
Source: RNAcentral